GAACUGCGAUAAGUAAUGUGAAUUGCAGAAUUCAGUGAAUCAUCGAGUCUUUGAACGCACAUUGCGCCCCCUGGUAUUCCGGGGGGCAUGCCUGUCCGAGCGUCAUUGCUGCCCUCAAGCACGGCUUGUGUGUUGGGCUUCCGUCCCUGGCAACGGGGACGGGCCCAAAAGGCAGUGGCGGCACCAUGUCUGGUCCUCGAGCGUAUGGGGCUUUGUCACCCGCUCCCGUAGGUCCAGCUGGCAGCUAGCCUCGCAACCAAUCUUUUUAACCAGGUUGACCUCGGAUCAGGUAGGGAUACCCGCUGAACUUAAGC
Molecule: unclassified non-coding RNA, 314 nt
Filed under: plant metagenome
Description: partial contains 5.8S ribosomal RNA, internal transcribed spacer 2, and large subunit ribosomal RNA
Rfam family: 5.8S ribosomal RNA (bases 1-105)
Source: RNAcentral